RNAcentral lists this ribosomal RNA (443 nucleotides) under uncultured bacterium. RNAcentral's name for it is "partial 16S ribosomal RNA". It matches the Rfam family "Bacterial small subunit ribosomal RNA", at positions 338 to 795 of the family's 1533-position model. The record is from RNAcentral.
CCUACGGGUGACAGCAGUGGGGAAUAUUGGGCAAUGGGCGCAAGCCUGACCCAGCAACGCCGCGUGAAGGAAGAAGGCUUUCGGGUUGUAAACUUCUUUUAUUGAGGACGAAACAAAUGACGGUACUCAAUGAAUAAGCCACGGCUAACUACGUGCCAGCAGCCGCGGUAAUACGUAGGUGGCAAGCGUUAUCCGGAUUUACUGGGUGUAAAGGGCGUGUAGGCGGGACUGCAAGUCAGAUGUGAAACCCAUGGGCUCAACCCAUGGCCUGCAUUUGAAACUGUAGUUCUUGAGUGAUGGAGAGGAUAGUGGAAUUCCAGGUGUAGGAGUGAAAUCCGUAGAUAUCUGGAGGAACAUCAGUGGCGAAGGCGACUAUCUGGCACAUAACUGACGCUGAGGAGCGAAAGCGUGGGUAGCAAACAGGAUUAGAUACCCGAGUAGUC